UUGAGAGUUUGAUCCUGGCUCAGAACGAACGCUGGCGGCAGGCUUAACACAUGCAAGUCGAGCGCACCUUCGGGUGAGCGGCGGACGGGUUAGUAACGCGUGGGAACAUACCCUUUGGUACGGAAUAGCCUCUGGAAACGGAGAGUAAUACCGUAUGAGCCCUUCGGGGGAAAGAUUUAUCGCCAAAGGAUUGGCCCGCGUUAGAUUAGGUAGUUGGUGGGGUAAUGGCCUACCAAGCCUACGAUCUAUAGCUGGUUUUAGAGGAUGAUCAGCAACACUGGGACUGAGACACGGCCCAGACUCCUACGGGAGGCAGCAGUGGGGAAUAUUGGACAAUGGGGGAAACCCUGAUCCAGCCAUGCCGCGUGAGUGAAGAAGGCCUUAGGGUUGUAAAGCUCUUUCAGUCGUGAAGAUGGUGACUGUAGCGACAGAAGAAGCCCCGGCUAACUCCGUGCCAGCAGCCGCGGUAAUACGGAGGGGGCUAGCGUUGCUCGGAAUUACUGGGCGUAAAGAGCACGUAGGCGGGUAUUCCAGUCAGGCGUGAAAGCCCCGGGCUCAACCCGGGAACUGCGCUUGAUACUGAAUACCUAGAGUCCGAGAGAGGGUGGUGGAAUUCCCA
RNAcentral lists this ribosomal RNA (619 nucleotides) under Lotharella globosa. RNAcentral's name for it is "partial Bacterial small subunit ribosomal RNA". It matches the Rfam family "Bacterial small subunit ribosomal RNA", at positions 1 to 672 of the family's 1533-position model. Lineage: Eukaryota; Cercozoa; Chlorarachniophyceae. The record is from RNAcentral.